GACGAACGCUGGCGGCGUGCUUAACACAUGCAAGUCGAGCGGUAAGGCCCUUUCGGGGGUACACGAGCGGCGAACGGGUGAGUAACACGUGGGUGACCUGCCCUCAGCUCUGGGAUAAGCCUGGGAAACUGGGUCUAAUACUGGAUAUGACUCCACGGUGCAUGUCGUGGGGUGGAAAGCCUUGUGCGGCUGAGGAUGGGCCCGCGGCCUAUCAGCUUGUUGGUGGGGUGANGGCCUACCAAGGCGACGACGGGUAGCCGGCCUGAGAGGGCGACCGGCCACACUGGGACUGAGACACGGCCCAGACUCCUACGGGA
This 317-nucleotide ribosomal RNA is filed under the name uncultured bacterium. RNAcentral describes it as "bacterial SSU rRNA". It matches the Rfam family "Bacterial small subunit ribosomal RNA", at positions 28 to 346 of the family's 1533-position model. The record is from RNAcentral.